GUCUAUAUACGUAUAGCAUAUCAAUAAGCGGAGGAAAAGAAACUAACUAGGAUUCCCUCAGUAACGGCGAGUGAAGCGGGAAGAGCUCAAAUUUGAAGUCUUCAAGGUUUUACCUUGACGAAUUGUAGUUUAAAGAAGUGUUUUCUGUUGGAAUUUUGGUAAAAGUUCUUUGGAAAUAGGACAUCAAUAGAGGGUGAGAAUCCCGUACUUUGACCAUUAUUUCCAGCUUUGUGAUACACUUUCAAAGAGUCGGAUUGUUUGGGAAUGCAGUCCAAAAUGGGUGGUAAAUUUCAUCUAAAGCUAAAUACUGGCGAGAGACCGAUAGCGAACAAGUACCGUGAGGGAAAGAUGAAAAGAACUUUGAAAAGAGAGUUAAACAGUACGUGAAAUUGUCAAAAGGGAAGCGUUUGACACCAGUGUUGUUUUCUCGAAAAUCAAUUAAAAAUGGUGGGAUUUUGUGUUGUAUUGACUUUAUCAGCUUUCUGCACUUUUUUCCUGUCUUUUUUAAUGCACUUUUCGUUUAACAAGUCAACAUCAAUUUCUUUUGUUGUAAAAGGGUCAUUGGAAGGUGGCUUUCUUUUCGGAGAAAGUGUUUAUAGCCUUUGCCUCUGCAAUCGGAGAGAUUGAGGUCUGCAGCGUAGAUCCUUCGGGGUUAGAUACAUUUGUGCUAAGUUAUAGCCUUUCAUAGACAACUUGUUGACUAUGAUCAGUCAUGUAGCUUACUCGCUUAUGUUAUUUUACCUACGCUUAGGAUGUUGACGAUCAGCUGAGCGCG
This 775-nucleotide ribosomal RNA is filed under the name uncultured Neocallimastigales. Its description in RNAcentral is "partial large subunit ribosomal RNA". It matches the Rfam family "Eukaryotic large subunit ribosomal RNA", at positions 27 to 627 of the family's 3401-position model. Lineage: Eukaryota; Fungi; Neocallimastigomycota; Neocallimastigomycetes; Neocallimastigales. The record is from RNAcentral.